Molecule: transfer RNA, 71 nt
Filed under: Marmota monax (woodchuck)
Lineage: Eukaryota; Metazoa; Chordata; Mammalia; Rodentia; Sciuridae
Description: tRNA.Gly
Source: RNAcentral
GAGGUUGUGGCUCAGAGGUAGGGUGCUAACCUACCAAGUGUGAGGCACUGGGUUUGAUCCUCAGCACCACA